Brachypodium distachyon (stiff brome) is the source of this 1004-nucleotide long non-coding RNA. RefSeq lists it as uncharacterized. NCBI's taxonomy places the organism in Eukaryota, Viridiplantae, Streptophyta, Magnoliopsida, Poales, Poaceae. The transcript has 2 exons. The record is from RefSeq and is a predicted model, not a curated record.
AGACAGGAGAGAGGUAGGUGGGUGAAGUGGUGUUCCAUGAAGAUGUCGUCGCGUGACUAGGCUACAUAACAGAGGUGAGGUGGUGUUCAUGGUCAGCGGAAGCACUCUGACGUCUCAUAUCCUCCACCCCUGAUUUCCGUUCCGUGGCCGAUUGAUUUCCGUAAAUUACGGAUCGUAACACGCUCUGCGGCGCCCGCCGGCUUGUCGGGCACGGCCAGUCCCGCGGCCCGCGGCUUGCUUCUUCUGGUGCCCAAAUGGCCUGCAGACGGCAAGAUGAUUUCGUUCGCACGUGAAGCUGUGGCUGUAUGCCCCGUCUGGUUUCCUGUACAACGAGAUGUUACAUGUGAUUUUUGCGGAGUAAGCAAUUCGAUGUGUGUGUUUUUCGCCGAAUCAGUAGUUGCUAGACUUGGACCGAGUCACGUUGUUGGGCCAAGCGUGGAUCUGGGAGUAUUAGUUCCCUGAAUGGUGAUUUUUGGGUAGCUCCGUUCGAAGAUUCGUGCCAGGAGCCCCUUUUAAGUUCACCUCUGAUCUUCGGUUCUCGAGAAUUUCUCCGAUCUGAUCCCCCAUCGCUGUUCAUAUAAUUUUGGUCUCACACUCCCGGAGUCCGGAGAGAAUUUGUGAUGGCGGCCGGCGUCAAAUACGCCCAGGCGCCCGGCAGGGCUGACAGCGAGAACCUCAUCUCCGGCAGCCGCUUGGGUUCGAGAGUUCGCAAAGCGGCAAAGCGCCCACCUUGCUUCAGCUGACGUCGUGACGUUCUUCCACGGACCUGAUACCAAGCGAAGCUAUAGAAAUCUAUUAGCUGAAGAAGAUAUCAGCGAGCGGGAUUUAAGUGUGCACUACAUGGAACCUGUGUAAUUAGAACGUCAGGAAACGCUACAAAUAUUUGCAUAUUGUCAUGCUACUGAUGGAGAAUUUCCCACAAGAAGACGAAGAGGAAAUUUCCAGAUGUUCAGCAGCGAGAUAGGACUUUCAGUGCAAUUGAACAACAAUGUUGAACGGUCUGA